RNAcentral lists this ribosomal RNA (301 nucleotides) under uncultured bacterium. RNAcentral's name for it is "partial 16S ribosomal RNA". It matches the Rfam family "Bacterial small subunit ribosomal RNA", at positions 509 to 809 of the family's 1533-position model. The record is from RNAcentral.
CAGUUGCCGCGGUAAUACAGAGGGUGCAAGCGUUAAUUGGAAUUACUGGGCGUAAAGCGCGCGUAGGUGGUUUGUUAAGUUGGAUGUGAAAUCCCCGGGCUCAACCUGGGAACUGCAUCCAAAACUGGCAAGCUAGAGUAUGGUAGAGGGUGGUGGAAUUUCCUGUGUAGCGGUGAAAUGCGUAGAUAUAGGAAGGAACACCAGUGGCGAAGGCGACCACCUGGACUGAUACUGACACUGAGGUGCGAAAGCGUGGGGAGCAAACAGGAUUAGAUACCCCAGUAGUCCCUGUCUCUUAUAA